UUCUAAUAUUUUAAAAAUUAAUUAUAUUAAAUUUACUAAAGUAGUAAGAAUAAAAAUUAAUAAUUUUUUUUAAUUUAAAACUUAAAGAGUUUGGCGGUGCUAUAUAUCCAUUUAGGGGAGUUUGUUAAUUUAUUCGAUAAUCCUCGAUUAAUACUUACUUUUUUUUGAAUAUUUUUAUCAGUUUGUGUAUUGCUGUCGUUAGUUUAUCUUUUAAAAGGUUAGUAAAGAACUUAAUAAUAUUAUUAAUAUUAUUAUGUCAAGUCAAAAUGCAGCUAAUAAAGAAGGUUAAAAAUGAGCUACAAUUUAUAUUAUAUUAUCGGAUUUUUUUUUUUGAUUUAAUUAAAUGAAGAUGGACUUAAUAGUAAUUAAAAUAAUAGUUAGAUUUAAUGAAUAUUGGUUUUGUAGUGUG
Molecule: ribosomal RNA, 409 nt
Filed under: Vampyroteuthis infernalis
Lineage: Eukaryota; Metazoa; Mollusca; Cephalopoda; Vampyromorpha; Vampyroteuthidae
Description: partial 12S ribosomal RNA
Source: RNAcentral